GAUGAACGCUGGCGGCGUGCCUAAUACAUGCAAGUCGAACGAAGAUCUAGCUUGCUAGAUCUUAGUGGCGAACGGGUGAGUAAUACAUAAAUAAUCUGCCCAUAUGACUGGGAUAACUAUUGGGAACGAUAGCUAAUACCGGAUAGGUUGAUCGGAGGCAUCUCUGAUGAAUUAAAGUAGGAUUUCUACACAAAUGGAUGAGUUUAUGGCGCAUUAGUUAGUUGGGGGGGUAACGGCCUACCAAGACGAUGAGGCGUAGCCGACCUGAGAGGGUGACCGGCCACACGGGGACUGAGACACGGCCCAGACUCCUACGGGAGGCAGCAGUAGGGAAUUUUCGGCAAUGGGCGCAAGCCUGACCGAGCAACGCCGCGUGGGUGAUUAAGGCCUUCGGGUUGUAAAGCUCUGUUGUAAGGGAAGAACAUUCAGGAUAGGAAAUGAUCUUGAACUGACGGUACCUUACCAGAAAGCCACGGCUAACUACGUGCCAGCCGCCGCCGUAA
Molecule: ribosomal RNA, 503 nt
Filed under: uncultured bacterium
Lineage: Bacteria
Description: partial 16S ribosomal RNA
Rfam family: Bacterial small subunit ribosomal RNA
Source: RNAcentral